This 92-nucleotide transfer RNA is filed under the name Archaeoglobus profundus DSM 5631. It matches the Rfam family "tRNA". Rfam says of the family: Transfer RNA (tRNA) molecules are approximately 80 nucleotides in length. Their secondary structure includes four short double-helical elements and three loops (D, anti-codon, and T loops). Lineage: Archaea; Methanobacteriati; Methanobacteriota; Archaeoglobi; Archaeoglobales; Archaeoglobaceae. The record is from Rfam by way of RNAcentral.
CCCGGCUUAGCUCAGUCUGGCAGAGCGCGGGCCUGUAGUCUGGCGACCGGGCAGAGAGCCCGGGGUCCCCGGUUCAAAUCCGGGAGCCGGGA